Molecule: unclassified non-coding RNA, 3431 nt
Filed under: Hevea brasiliensis (rubber tree)
Lineage: Eukaryota; Viridiplantae; Streptophyta; Magnoliopsida; Malpighiales; Euphorbiaceae
Source: RNAcentral
GUUGGAUAACUCUCAUUUUUAUUUUUACUUUUAUUUUAUUUUAUUUUCAAAAGGAUAACUCUUAUUACAGGAGAAGAUAAAAAAAGGAGAUAAUGCAGACAAAAUUUUCAACUGUCAUGAACCACCGUGUGCUAAAGUGGCGCCAUGAAAAUUUGUCCCAGUGUCUACCUUGUGAACUGUGAAGACAAUAAAAUUUGCAAAAUUACUCAAGUUAAUCAUUAUUUUGGGGCUACUAAACAAUCCAUUGUUCGAUGUCUUGUGAUUGUGCGUGGAAGUUCAUAUUAUAUCAGCUGUAGUUCCUCUGGUGAGAAAUCUACAAAUCUCAAAACUACCAUGACUUAGUUUUGGAGAACUGUUGUUCAGUCAAAACUUUCGACAAACGGUAGAUGAUGACUGAAGUUUACACUUCAUAAACGAUAGGUUGUUCUCCUUCAAGCUCAGAUAUAACAAUUAAUUUGUCUGUCAUUCCAAGUGAGAGGGGUUUUGACUUGGGAAUCGGAUUAAUAACCUUUUUGUUAUCUUUGACAUAGCCUAUAGCAACCUCUCGCCGCAAAAAUGCCCUUUCAGAAAGUUCAAAGAAUGAAGGAGUCUCUCCCUCCUUCAUAUAGAGGCUAAUAUCCUUAACAUAAAUUUCAUCACCCUCUGCAUUCAGAAUGUCUUUCCACACCUCAUUCAGUUCACUGUUCUCUGCCACUUGAGCUGUGACCAGGCUCAUUAUUUCCUCUGCUGCAAUAUAAGUCAGCGAUGGCUUGAUUCUUGUAAUCUGUUUGCCUAAUUUUGAGUCAACAAUCUCUGCAACUAGAUUUUGUACCUGCACUCCAAGUUUAUUGCAGAUGUUUUCAGCAAGAAGAAGACAGAAUACGGAUUGCUUAUCUGCUCUGGAUGAAUCUCCAAGAAGCCAUUCUCUAUCUGUUAAUACAGCGAUUGACAAGGGAAUGUCUUCACCUUUCUUGUAAGAAUUUUCAAUGUUGAUAAUGGUUUCCUUUAAGGCAUCAUAAUCCAUGGGAUUUCCAAUCCUAUGAGAAACUUUUACAUUUUUGAGUUUGCCUUGACCAGCACUGUGGCUUGCCCUUUUCCUGUCAGCUAAUGGUACAUCUGAUAAAAUUUCCAAUAUGCUUCCUGGUCCAAGAUAAUUAUCAUAUUCUUCAAUCAUUUCUACAACAUCUGGGCGCCAUCCAAGUAAAAGUAUACACUCUUUUGGUCCAAGAGAUAAAUCUGAUGCCUUUGACCCUGAUUUUUUGGGACGUUUUACAAUAUUUUCUAGUCGUGUUUUUCUCAAUUCUAUGGCGUAAUUUAUAUCUUCGUUAUCAUCUUCAACUUUCAGAUUUUGCAAAGAAGUUCCCUCUUUCAAAAUACUAGAACAUACGAUUUCAGGUGUCCCUCGAUAAACAGGUCCAAUGAACAAAAUUUUAUCACUUUUCUGCAGGAUUUCAUCAUCAUUUGGGUGGAAAUAUAUCUUUUCGUUCCGGUAAAGACCACAAACAACUACCCCUUGAAAUCCAUGUCUCAGUUGCCUAUACUUAAUUCCUGUCAUAUCAGGGAAACUGCGAAGAUUAAAUACAUUUUUUCGAUAAUUAAGCAAAUGUCUGUAGAUUUUUAUCAGCCCCUUUUGCCGAGAGCACUGAACAAAUAAUUUGGAUGCAACAUUUUCCACUGGCUCUACUUUCACUCCAGAAAUUGACUUUAAGAGCUCACAUGUAUUGGAGUUUGAGAUCUCAACAAUGGUAGGGACAGAUUCCAUCUUUGUAAUAGGUUGAAGAGCUAGCACAGAUAGAAAUGCAUUGGUAUCAACUUCAUACCGACUCCCCUUUGUUGUCGGCAAUAUAAUUAUGGCACGUGCCUUAUUGGCUGCAGCUCUUUCAAAUGAUUUUGUUAGGCUAAGGCUGCAACUCUUAGUGAGGACAUCAACGUGGUUAAGAUCUUUGGCACAAUUGUCAGCUAUCUUGUCUAUCUGCUUCCUUGGAAGAUCAGACAUAAGAAGAAUUCUCUGCCUCCUAGCUGUAGCAGUACCUAAGCGAACAGCAAACUCAUGAUACUUAUUUAGCUGCUUUAGUAUGAAAUUCAGUUUACUGUUUGCUCCACAAAUAAUGAUAUGAUCUGCCUCAAGUACUUGCAUUUGUGCGCCUUCCCUGAGCCUUUGCAUGUUAGUCCUGAACUGCUCUGUCAUUGUACUCAAUAACCGAGUGUAGAAUAGUAUGCCCCAGAUGGCAAGAAGAAAGCCAAUAACACGUUCAAUGCGUGUUUUUUGCUUUAGAUGAGAAGAUGAUGAACAUAGACAUGCCCAAGCUUCCCAAAAGCAGUCCUCCAGAGAAUGUGCACUUCCUCUAAGCUUGAAAAAUAGUAAACCACCAAUGACAACAAAGGAGAAGCAAGCCCCAAGGAGCACUACAAAGAACGCUGCCACAUUUCUUUCAAGUUGGAUGUUAAACAAAUAGAGUAAACGUGCUAAGCUCCACCGAAUAUCUUGAAAGGAAGGGAAUGACACAUCCAGCCCAAAAGGUAUGGAUUUAUUCAAGGAAUUAGAUAUACAAGCAAAAGAUGAGCUUGUAACUCUAAAAGUCAAAUCCAAAGAGGGCAAUGAAUCUUGAACCAUCUUUAUCAAUGGAUUUACAAAAUUCGGCUGCAUUAAUCUGAAUAUGCAAUAGGAUGAAAUAGAUCCAAUCAUGAGUUUAGCUUCAUAAUCCUGGGAACUACCAUUUUUCCUCAUUCUAAACAACCUGAGAUUCGAAUCAUUUGAAUUAUCCAAGUGAGCAGCACAAUUCAUCUUAUCCCCCAACCUCGGAGAACUGGCUUUCCAAUUCCCACCAAAGUGUAUUCUGAAAUUAUGUGCAUGUAAAGCAGAAGACUUGAUCCACCACAAUUGGCUUGGCAUUGAUUUCCUGUUGAACUAUUACAUCAGCAUGAAACUUAACAGCUGCCAUUGUUAUAUAAAAACAAGCACUGACAAAAUAACUCAACAUAAUACUUCCCUUCUAUUACAUUCUACACUAUGUAUAAAUAUGACUGACAGUAAUAAUAUUUAAGUUAUUCCCAUAUGCAAAAACAGAAUAUAAUAUAUCAAUUUACUACGUGGAACGGUUGAAUUCAUGAUUUCUUGAAAAAAUUAUAAACACAAAGAAGGAUAAGAAGCACGAACACAGAGCUCACCUAGUAGUCUAUGUGUCAUAUUAUGAUUAACAUUUAUGACUUACAAACGAUUGCACAGCGCUUAUUAUGAAAAAGUUAUUCCAUAAUGAAAUUGUUUUCAGAAACGAUUCAAGUGCUGCUCAGAAAACUAUGAUUCUUAGUGGCAAUAGCACCAUUUCAGAGGAGGAAAUGCCCAGUUUUCAAAAAAAAAAAAUGAAUAGUAAUUCAAAGUCCAUGCAACUUCAUAAAUAGUUGAUGCAUAGAAUUUAUUCGAGUAAAUGCUUUGCACUAACAAUGAUAGUCAA